GCUUGUCUCAAAGAUUAAGCCAUGCAUGUCUCAGUAUAAGCUUUUACACGGCGAAACUGCGAAUGGCUCAUUAAAACAGUUAUCGUUUCUUUGGUGGUUAUUGAUUACAUGGAUAACCGUGGUAAUUCUUGAGCUAAUACAUGCGAAAAAUCUCGACUCACGGAGAGAUGCUUUUAUUAGAUCAAAACCAAACGGCUUCGGCCGUCUCAUUGGUGACUCUGAAUAACUUUGGGCUGAUCGUAUGGCCUUGUGCCGACGACGUUUCCUUCGAAGGUGUGCCCUAUCAACUGUCGACUGUGAUAUAGACGCUCACAGUGGUUUUGACGGGUAACGGGGAAUCAGGGUUCGAUUCCGGAGAGGGAGCCUUAAAAACGGCUACCACAUCCAAGGAAGGCAGCAGG
This 401-nucleotide ribosomal RNA is filed under the name Crustacea environmental sample. RNAcentral describes it as "partial small subunit ribosomal RNA". It matches the Rfam family "Eukaryotic small subunit ribosomal RNA", at positions 30 to 432 of the family's 1831-position model. Lineage: Eukaryota; Metazoa; Arthropoda. The record is from RNAcentral.